RNAcentral lists this ribosomal RNA (207 nucleotides) under uncultured bacterium. RNAcentral describes it as "partial 16S ribosomal RNA". It matches the Rfam family "Bacterial small subunit ribosomal RNA", at positions 568 to 774 of the family's 1533-position model. The record is from RNAcentral.
CGCGCAGGCGGUUGGUCACGUCGGGUGUGAAAGCCCCCCGCUCAACGGGGGAAGGUCACUCGAAACGGGUUAACUGGAGGCAGGGAGAGGUCGGUGGAAUUCCCGGUGUAGCGGUGAUAUGCGUAGAGACCGGGAGGAACACCAGAGGCGAAGGCGGCCGACUGGACCUGACCUGACGCUGAGGCGCGAAGGCGUGGGGAGCGAACG